This 564-nucleotide ribosomal RNA is filed under the name uncultured Actinomycetes bacterium. RNAcentral describes it as "bacterial SSU rRNA". It matches the Rfam family "Bacterial small subunit ribosomal RNA", at positions 338 to 916 of the family's 1533-position model. Lineage: Bacteria; Bacillati; Actinomycetota; Actinomycetes. The record is from RNAcentral.
CCUACGGGAGGCAGCAGUGGGGAAUCUUGCGCAAUGGGCGAAAGCCUGACGCAGCAACGCCGCGUGCGGGAUGAAGGCCUUCGGGCUGUAAACCGCUUUCAGCAGGAACGAAAAUGACGGUACCUGCAGAAGAAGGAGCGGCCAACUACGUGCCAGCAGCCGCGGUGACACGUAGGCUCCAAGCGUUGUCCGGAUUUAUUGGGCGUAAAGAGCUCGUAGGCGGUUGAGUAAGUCGGGUGUGAAAACUCUGGGCUUAACCCGGAGACGCCAUCCGAUACUGCUCUGACUUGAGUUCAGGAGGGGAGUGGGGAAUUCCUAGUGUAGCGGUGAAAUGCGCAGAUAUUAGGAGGAACACCGGUGGCGAAGGCGCCACUCUGGACUGAAACUGACGCUGAGGAGCGAAAGCAUGGGUAGCAAACAGGAUUAGAUACCCUGGUAGUCCAUGCCGUAGACGGUGGGCACUAGGUGUGGGUUCCAACUAACGGGAUCCGCGCCGUCGCUAACGCAUUAAGUGCCCCGCCUGGGGAGUACGGUCGCAAGACUAAAACUCAAAGGAAUUGACGG